Molecule: long non-coding RNA, 716 nt
Filed under: Gallus gallus (chicken)
Lineage: Eukaryota; Metazoa; Chordata; Aves; Galliformes; Phasianidae
Source: RNAcentral
CAGCUAGAAUUGCUGCUGGUAUAACUGGUUUCCCUUGCUCUACAGGAUCGCUUCGAUCUUGAAUAUAGUCUUUGAAAGACAUCGUAGGUUUGCUCAUACACAAGGACUGGCUACAGUCAUCUUCAAAACUCUCAUAGGAUGGCACACGCUGUAAAUCCACUAGCGACGACUGGCUGUUCCAGGACUGCAGCAUUGAAUCUGAGCUUUCAUAGCUUUCUGCACCACUUUCACUGGAUUCGUGUUCUCUAAGUUUGCCAGAAUUAUCUAUCAGCAAGUUCAGAUUACUUCUUGUGAAAUCUUGAUUUACAGUACAGUAGUUCACACUAACUGCAUCUACUUGGGUUUUAGGGAACAAUGAAAAGUCUUGUUCUGGACUAAGGAGAUUUGGUCCUGUAGAAGUCUGGCAGAUAUCACUCAGGAGAUUGGGCUUGGGAUAACUGAGGGCUUUAGGGUACCCAGGCAUCUGUAUACCAUAGGGAGUCUGAUCCACAUUAACAGUUAAGGAGUUAUUAUUGACCCAGUGAGGAACUGAGGUGAGAUGAGAGCUCUCCACAUAUUGAUCCUGUGUUUUUUCUUGGCUGUCUUUUAUCAUCUGCUCCAGGUGUUCCCACAGAAUGUCACCCACAUAGUCAGGUGCAAGUUCCAGGAAGCGUUCCUUGCCCAGGUUGCAGAGGUCUUGGCCACUCAUAAGAAACUGAUGGAUGUUCACAUUUGCC